GCGACCGCCUAGCGCUGGCGCUCGGCUAGGCGGUGCGCUAGGCGCCAUUGUGGAUAGCCUUAGAGCAUUGCGAUUCCAGUAAGUUCAGCUGAAUUCGGCUUCUCCUCGCUAAUUGCACCUUUGAUUCCAACUUUAUAAUUUCAGUGUAUGAAUUUGCGCUUCUCUGGAACUGGAGAUGAGACCGCAGCGUCUAUCUUCUUAGUUAAGCUUUUAUCUUAGGCUGUUGUUAACUAAGAUUUUAUGUGGUGUUUGAUGAUGGAAAUCUCGGUUUUCUUAUUUCUGCGGAGAGCAAAGCGAAUGCCCAGAGAAAUCCAGAGUUUGCUGGUUGUAUUGUUGUUUGAAUUAGGUCGUGCAUCUGGAUUCAAAGCCUUGAAACCAAAAUCCAGCAAAAGCAUUGCGGCUUGACGAAUGAGAUACAGUAGAUUUUAAAGUCUGAUAGACAUGCCGUUUAUUUAUUAAGAUGAUAAAGUAAUUUGAAGGCGAGGAGCCAAUGUUUGUGUCUCUGUUGCUUAUAUGACAUUUUCCUGAUGACUUCUGCUUUCCCUGUUGUAUUGUUCUUAUCUUAAAAUAAUCCAGAAGAAAACAUUUGAAAACCA
Long non-coding RNA from Salvia splendens (bonfire salvia), 596 nucleotides. RefSeq lists it as uncharacterized. The record is from RefSeq and is a predicted model, not a curated record. The transcript is spliced from 2 exons. NCBI's taxonomy places the organism in Eukaryota, Viridiplantae, Streptophyta, Magnoliopsida, Lamiales, Lamiaceae.